CAACAGGGAUUGCCUCAGUAACGGCGAGUGAAGCGGCAACAGCUCAAAUUUGAAAUCUGGCCCCAGGCCCGAGUUGUAAUUUGCAGAGGAUGCUUUUGGCAAGGUGCCUUCCGAGUUCCCUGGAACGGGACGCCAUAGAGGGUGAGAGCCCCGUCUGGUCGGACACCGAGCCUCUGUAAAGCUCCUUCGACGAGUCGAGUAGUUUGGGAAUGCUGCUCAAAAUGGGAGGUAUAUGUCUUCUAAAGCUAAAUACCGGCCAGAGACCGAUAGCGCACAAGUAGAGUGAUCGAAAGAUGAAAAGCACUUUGAAAAGAGAGUUAAAUAGCACGUGAAAUUGUUGAAAGGGAAGCGUUUAUGACCAGACUUGGCCCGGUUGAUCAUCCAGCGUUCUCGCUGGUGCACUCUGCCGGUCCAGGCCAGCAUCAGUUCGUCGCGGGGGAUAAAGGUUUCGGGAAUGUGGCUCCUCCGGGAGUGUUAUAGCCCGUUGCGUAAUACCCUGCGGUGGACUGAGGUCCGCGCUCUGCAAGGAUGCUGGCGUAAUGGUCAUCAACGACCCGUCUUGAAACACGGACCAAGGAGUCGUCUUCGUAUGCGAGUGUUCGGGUGUAAAACCCCUACGCGUAAUGAAAGUGAACGCAGGUGAGAGCUUCGGCGCAUCAUCGACCGAUCCUGAUGUUCUCGGAUGGAUUUGAGUAAGAGCAUACGGGGCCGGACCCGAAAGAAGGUGAACUAUGCCUGUAUAGGGUGAAGCCAGAGGAAACUCUGGUGGAGGCUCGCAGCGGUUCUGACGUGCAAAUCGAUCGUCAAAUAUGGGCA
RNAcentral lists this ribosomal RNA (816 nucleotides) under Xepicula yifeii. Its description in RNAcentral is "Xepicula sp. QZ-2019a partial large subunit ribosomal RNA". It matches the Rfam family "Eukaryotic large subunit ribosomal RNA", at positions 66 to 917 of the family's 3401-position model. The record is from RNAcentral. Lineage: Eukaryota; Fungi; Ascomycota; Sordariomycetes; Hypocreales; Stachybotryaceae.